GCAGUGUCUCGUUCGGCGAGGCUCCUAUGCAAACACAGGUCACUGAUCUGACGACGUCGAGAGACGCCCAAGGUUAGGACAGGCUUUAUCGGAUUAAGGUUUAGCCCAAAGUGACUUCCAACGGAUACGUUGCAUAGUGCCAAAACCUAGACGCGGAGAUCGCUU
Molecule: small RNA, 165 nt
Filed under: Chromobacterium violaceum
Lineage: Bacteria; Pseudomonadati; Pseudomonadota; Betaproteobacteria; Neisseriales; Chromobacteriaceae
Also listed under: 1 other name
Description: Magnesium sequence
Rfam family: M-box riboswitch aptamer (ykoK leader)
About the family: M-box riboswitch, also know as ykoK leader is described as a metaloregulatory RNA that sense divalent metals and function as a genetic control element of genes related to divalent metal transport in bacteria.
Source: RNAcentral